AGUUGCCAGCACUUCAGGUGGGCAAUCUAUGGUAAAUGCCGGUGAUCAACCGGAAGAAGGUUGGGAAGACGUCCAAUCCUCNUGCCCCUUAUGAUCUGGGCUACCCACCUNCUACAAUGGCCGGUNCAACAGGCUGUGAAUCCGCCAAGUUGAACCAAUCCUANAAAGCCGGUCUCNAUUCCGAUUGCAAGCUGCNACUCCCCUGCAUUAAAUNCGAAUUGCUAAUUAUCNCGGANCAACAUGCCCCGGUGAAUACGUUCCCGGGUCUUGUGNACACCGCCCGUCUCACCUCGAGAGUUUAUAGUCACCCGAAAUCCGUGGGGUNACCGCNAGGAGCCAGCCGCCGAAGGUGGGAGUGAUGAUUGGGGUUAAGUCUUAAUUAUGUACCGUAUCCGAAGGUGCGGGUGGAUCA
Molecule: ribosomal RNA, 412 nt
Filed under: Paenibacillus sp. 1084
Lineage: Bacteria; Bacillati; Bacillota; Bacilli; Caryophanales; Paenibacillaceae
Description: partial 16S rRNA
Rfam family: Bacterial small subunit ribosomal RNA
Source: RNAcentral